UUUUUGGUCUUUUCAGGGCUGCACUCAUGGCACAUGGAGGUUCCCAGGCUAGGGGUCAAAUCUGAGCUGUAGCUGCUGGCCUAUGCCACAGCCACAGCAGCUCCAGAUCCAAGCCAUGUCUGUGACCUACACCACAGCUCAUGGCAAUGCCUUAACCCACUGAGCAAGGCCAGGAAUUGAACCUGCGUCCUCAUGGAUGCUAGUCAGAUUUGUUUCCACUGAACCACUAUGAGAACUUUGGAGGAAGCAUUCUUAAACAAAGAGACCACUGGCUCUGCUUGGAAUAGUUUACACUAAAAUUUUUAGGGGAAAAAUGACACUUUCAGUAAAACAAAAGAAAACUGUAUCAGUACAUGAUUUUCUAUCACCAACUUAGGAAAAACAAGUGGUAUGGUAGAGCAGUUUUACAAGUGUUAAGCCCAAUUUGGUUUGAUUUUUUCCAUCACAAGUAAUGAAAUAGAGAACACGAUAACUUAAGAGCACCACCCUGGGUCAGUCAAAUAAGGAAUGAACUACACCAAGUUAAACUGUUGCAAGAGCAAUGGGAGGACUCUCCAAAAUAUGUGGCCUGGCUCUAGACACUGGCUUGAUAAAUUUAAGCAACUGAGGAUUUAAAAUAGAGUAGAGAGAGAGAGAACAGUGAAUACUGGGAGGAGGGCACUGAAAAUGCUUAGACUAAACACACCAAAUGAGAAGGAACAUGCACAACUUAGAAUUUUUAAACCCUCACUAUCUGGGGUUGCCUGAAAAAUGAUCUAAAUAAGUAAAAAUUCUAAAAUAUGUAAUACAUUUAAAGAAAUCUUUUUUUUAAGGCUUUCAGAGAAACACAGUGACUAACUGCUGACAAAGUUUAUCCAAGCAUGCUGGACCAGUUUUAAUGAAUAGAUGAGACUGAUUGUAAUUAGCAGCACUCAUCUGUAUAAAAUGAGUAUCUGAUAAUUUAUUUAAAUUGGCUCCCCCCUUCCUUAAAAUGGUCUGUAGAAGUGCUUUCCUUUAGAGUGAAUUAAACUUAAUUUUGUUUAGAGGCUUUUGUGGAUAUAUUGAGAUGUGUUCAAAACCAAAUGGAGGCCUUCUGAGUUAUAAAGAAGAGGUUGAAAAUCAUUUAUUUAUAACCCUAUUAUUGACCUAAGAAAUUUCAAGAUUUUACAAUUAAAGUAAUCAUAAAUUAGAUCAUCAAAUGUUAUGAGAUAUACUGAGUAUAUCUGAAUUAUAGAUUAAACAAAAUGCCAAAUACAUCAAGAGUGAUCAACCAGUAAAUACAGAAAGACAUGACCAGGAAGCACUCCAUCAUUAAUUUUUUGGGCAACAUUAAUUCCAGCCAAAAUUUUGCUAAGCUAGAACUUCAUAGACAAUCACCUUACUUUACUUGCAAUGUAAAAAGUACUAGUUAUUAAAACAUGCCCCCAGGAGUUCCUGUCAUAGCUCAGUGGUUAAUAAAUCCAACUAGGAACCAGGAGGUUGUGGGUUCGAUCCCUGGCCUGCUCAGUGGGUUAAGGAUCCUGCAUUUCGGUAAGCUGUGGUGUAGGUUGUAGUCGUGGCUCAGAUCCCAUGUUGCUGUGGCUCUGGCGUAGGCCAGGGGCUAUAGCUAUGAUUCGAUUCCUGGCCUGGGAACCUCCAUAUGCCGCUGGUUCGGCCCUAGAAGGACAAUACAACAAAACAAAAACAUGCCCCCAAAAAGGUAGGUUAGUAAAAUUACUAAAGCAAUUUUUAUCUUUAGAAAAUAACUUUUAUUCAUUUUGUAACAACAGACUUUCAUAGAGAAAGGUCACAUAAUAUAAAAGAUGUAGAAAUGUGAAAUGAUGUAUUACCUCAAAUGCUACCACCUAGAAAUAACCAUUAUUGACAUUCUUUCAUAAUGACUCUUUUAGAUAUUUAUAUACAAAAAGAAACACAUAAGGAUACAUUACUAGGAAAAUGUCUUAUAUAAUGUUCUGCGAUCUUUUUUUUUAUUUGUCCUCCACUCAACAAUAUGUUCUGGGCAUCUUUUCAAAUAAAUUAAUUCUACAUCAUUAUUUCAAUGGAACUACAGAAUCCAAUUAAAAAUGAGCCAUCAUUCAAUUAAAUUAUACUUGAUGAACAUCUAGGUUGUUUUAUUAUAAUUCCUAUUAUAUAGCAUUCUGCUGUGAAUGCUAUUAUAGCUUUUUACCGCUAUAAUAGUAGCUAUAGUAACUUUAGAACUGAAAUUGCUAGGUCAAAUCCAUGCAUAAUUAGCAUUGGAAUAUAUUGUAUAUUAGUGCACAAGAGUGGCCCCUUCUUCAAAUCUUUGUGCAAUUUGUUAAGUGAACAAUGGUCGUUUCUCUCUUCCUUUGCCCCUUACUCUGCUCCCUCUCUCCAACCCUCUUUACCUACUACUCUCUCUCUCUCUCUCAUUCCCUCUCUUCUGGUCUUUACUAGUCGAUUGCCAAUUCAGAUUCUUUGCCAAUUUUUAGCUUUUGUCGAUUGUCUAUUCAGAUUCUUUGCCAAUUUUUAUAUUGAGAUUACUAUUUUUCACUCUUAUUGAUGGGUGAGAGCCUUUAUAUAUUAAUGAGAAAAAUGCUUUAUUCAUGAUGUUAUUGUAAAUACUCUAAAUUAAUUCUCAUUUUAUUUCAAAUUUACCAUACAUCAUUCUUUUGUCCCUAAGAAGUUUUGUGGAAUAUGUGAUUACUUCGCACAUCUUUUCCUUUAUUGCUUCUAAUUCUUGUAAUAUUACCAGAAUGAGCUUUUUUACGCAAAGAUUUUAUAUUUUAUCUUGAAGUUUUUCUGAUUCUAUUUAAUUUUACAUUUCAGCCUUUCAUGCAUCUUUACGUUGAGCCUAACCCAAGGCCUUAAGUCUAAUAUAAGACAGGGAUUUAGCUUUUCUUUCUUCCUGAUAGCUAGUCAGCUCACACAAUUUAGUGAAUAAUAUACCUUUUUCUGAAAUUUGAAAAGCCCUUUUUGUCAUAUAUGACAUUCUCAUACUUUUGAGCCUUAGACGCUCUGUUCUACGGAUUCAUUGUAUCAAUUAAACCACACUGUUUUAAGAAUUGAAGUUCUAUAACAGAUUUAUUAACUGAUUAAAAAAACAUAUGCUUUAUUUUUUAUUUUUGAAAUCUUUCUUAAGGUAUAUAUGUAUCUGUGAAACAUAUUCUUCCAGUUAAAAACUUCCAAUUAAGAAACUGACCUGAUGAUUUAAUAGUUAUUUUUCUGUGCUUAUGAUGUCUUGACAUAGACAGGUUAUUCUAUUCAUUCUUCUUCACCAAGACAAAUCAUUGAAUAUAUAAAGAUACAGGCAAUAAAAAGCAGGCAUAUAUGCGUUUUCUUGUUUACUUGCUAUUCCCUUCUUUAACUCAUCCUUUAGUGGACUUAUACCUUUUUAAAGAUACUACAAUUAAGGCAUUCUUACCCAUUAUACUUCUCUCCUGUUUGAAAGCAAGAUUUGACCCAGGUUAUUUCAGAGCAUGGCCCCUCCUAGUGAUCUGGGCUUUGCAUUGGAAUACUUUUUGUCUUCCUUUCUCAGUCUCCCUGAAUGAAAUAGCAAGAGAGAUCUUUCUGGAGGAGCAUCUUUCUCUGAAGUGACAAGGAAGCAGCAUCUCUCACAGCUGGCAAUGCAUGCCUGCAUAAUACUUGGAUGCCAGAAGUGCUCUUGAAGAACAAACAGGCAACCUGUUUCUUCCUCAAGCAGCAGCAAAAGCUGUCAAAACCACAGGUGCACCAGGCACCACCCCUCCAUCAAGCUGUUUACAUUCCUCUUUCAGUCUAGCAUUUGGCAGCUGAGGUUGAUUCUGGCCUUGGCAGCAGAGACAAUAUAUCUCUGAGGAUUUAAGUCAUACAGAUGGUGAUGGAAUUUAGCAGUUUAAUGUUUGUCUCCCACAAUGCUAUGGUGUCAAAGACCCUGGGCCAGGUAGUGCAGUAUUUUUAUUAACAACAACAACAACAAAAGAAUAGAUAGGGUCAUACAAGCCAAUUAUGCAUUUUCCAUCCCUGCUCCAGGUCUUUAUAUUCUUGCUUUGAACUAGACAGCCUAGGCAUCAUAACUGAUAAUUGGUAGCUAUGGAGCUAAAAGGAAGAAUAGAAUGAGAUGUACUUACUCUUCCUUUAAAAGUAUAUUGAGGGGAAUUCCCGUUGUGGCGCAGUGGUUGACGAAUCCGACUAGGAACCACGAGGUUGCAGGUUCGAUCCCUGCCCUUGCUCAGUGGGCCAAGGAUUGAACCCACAUCCUGAUGGAUACUAGUCAGAUUUGUUUCCUAUGCACCAUUAUGGGAACUCCCAAGAACUGUGUAUUUUUAAAAAGCAUUCAUUUUCCCUACAGAUGUAAUACCAUAUCUGUAUUCAAAUUUUAUAACAUUCUUUACAAUGCAAGCAAUUCUGCUUGAAAAUAACCUGACCAUAAUUUGAUUCAAAGUGUCAGAAUGAAAUAUAAAUAUAUGAAGUGAACUCUCCAUAUUUUUAGUACUAUAUCAAAUUUUGUUAAUUAACUCAACAAAAUUUAUCAUGAAAUAGAAAAUAAUGUAUAUGCUUAACAGUCAAAUGAUGUUAUUGCUUUAAUAAUAGCUUAUCUGAAGCCAAAAAUGAAUAAAUUGCUUGUUCCAGGAUAUUUUUUCUUUAUUACAGAUGACAAAACUCAACAUAGUGGAGCCCUAUACUCUAUUUUGGUUAAUCAAAAUGUAUACUCAAUUCUUUAAGUGACUUCCUGAUUUGGCCUUGUUACUUUAGCAAAGAUUUUUUUUUUCUUUUAAAAUCAGUUCAUGCAAAUGUACUAAAAUAAGAAAUCCUAAUUUUCACUAAUUUUAGUGACAAUACAUUUUUUUCCAACCCUACCAGGGUAUUUAAAUGUUUUCUUUACAAACCAACUUUAAAAAGAUAAUACUUCCAUUCCCACAUCAUUUGAACCAAUCUAUGCUUCUUUAUCAGGCUUUAUCACUAUAUCACCAUCUUGUUUCUUCAUUAAUUAAACUACUUUCUGAGGAGUUUGAAUCUUUUACUAUAAUCUAUCUCCAAUUCAUGCUUACUAGGUUCAGCUAUAAUAUGCUGGACUCACUGAGGGUUCGGGGUUUUAUGCAAUCCAUAACCCAAAUACAAUAUUCAAUAUUAUAUUCAUAAAAUACAAUGUAUGGCAUUAGGGACUUAGAAAUCCACCAACAAUUUUUCUGUCAAAUACACAUCUUACAUUAUAAGAUUUUAUGCCAUCAGGGGAUUUUGAAUCUAUGGCUUGCAUUCUGUCUGUGAAGCUGUGCUCUCCAUCUAAGUAGAUGAGCCAAAAUCCAAUAGUAAGAUGUUGCCAUGGUAAGACAGCAGACACUACUACUUUAGAGGCUGAGCCCUAGGCUAGCCCUCCAUCAAAAUCAAAGCACAUAGCAGCUGUCCCUAACCAGCGUGGCUCAUAGAUUGUUUCUGCUCAACCAAAAUCAGGAAAAACAUAGACGUUUCCAAGGCUCUAGAGAGAACAGAAUGCUAUAAUUAACACUUCUGGCCUGGUCUCUUCCUUUACCAGAUACAUAUAUGAUCUUGGGCCUUAAAAAUAUAUUAAAUGUUCCUUAAGGGUUGCUUGACCCUGCUGAGGCUUAUCUAAUCAGAGAGGUAUGGGAAGGCCCAUCACAGGGCAAUCUUAGGUGAGGAGAUGAGCUCUCCUGGCCUCAUCUCUGAUUCAUAAAUUCGUCUUGAGAUUCCCAAGUCAACACAGAAGGCUCUUUACCCUGUCUAACAGGUGGUUACUUGAGCCAAAUCUGGACUCCUAGGGUAAUACAGUCAACAAAAGGCCAAUGUGGGCCUACCCAUGAAACUUCCAGUCCAAUUUAAAGCACAUUAUUAAAAAAAAAAAGUGAUCAGCAUGAACUUAGGAAGUGGCAAUGCUACAUGAGACCACUCUGUCAACCCUCAGUAGUUAGAGAACUUUAGCAAAUGUGCAUGAUACAGCUCAUACACAAGCCCCCAUUCCAGAGAACUGGCUAGCACAGAAGGUGGAGGAAAAGGGACUCUAUACAAACAUAGACCCUCCAGUGGGUCUCUCCCAUAACCUUGAGUUUUAUCCAGAAUGUAGAGGGUCACUGAAGCCAUGAGCUUAUUUCACAGACACCCACAUAUCUCGUAGACUUUGACAGGGGCAAUAAAUUCAGCUGCUACACUACUAGGACACAGCAAUUAGUGCUAUGAUAAGAUAGAUGAGUAGGUCCUGGGAUGUGGUUUCUUUAAAAACAAAACAAAACAAACAAUAAAAACCCUCCUUGUUUUAAAGAAAGGAUUACUGAGGGGAGAAUGGGUAUUCCCAAUUUAUAAGCUUUGACUCAGAGAGCAACUGCCUCAUUCCUUAGAACUGCUGAUCAAGCAUCAUUACUCUCAUAGCUAUUAGGGAAAUGGAAUCAAAUCCCCUCUGGGGUGGUAGUAUACAAACUUCUCCCUGUACUUCUGGUGGAACUGACUGAUUAUAAUCUACUUUCAAAAGAUAAAGUGUUUUUGUAAGCAGCUCUUUGCAGGAAACCACCCUCAGCAGAAAACCUCUUUCCUUGUCACUUUAGCAAAGUGAUAUUGUAACUCCAUUUUAAACCAGGCACCCCCAUGGUGUACUCAUUUCUGGCCCAAGUGCACCUUUCAAAUAUUUUAAUCACACGCUUCACCUAAUGUGUCGGUUCUUUCCAUAGAUCAAAGAAGU
Molecule: long non-coding RNA, 6604 nt
Filed under: Sus scrofa (pig)
Lineage: Eukaryota; Metazoa; Chordata; Mammalia; Artiodactyla; Suidae
Description: lncRNA (ENSSSCG00055016915.1)
Source: RNAcentral